AGAGUUUGAUCAUGGCUCAGAACGAACGCUGGCGGCGUGGAUAAGACAUGCAAGUCGAGCGCUGAUUGCGGGGUAGCAAUAUUCCGGAGUUGGAGCGGCGCAAGGGUGCGUAACACGUGGGUAAUCUGCCAUGAAGUUUGGAAUAACUUGCUGAAAGGCGAGCUAAUACCGGAUGUGAAAAUUGGGAGGCCUCUCCUGGUUUUUAAAGUUGGGGACCGUAAGGCCUGACGCUUCAUGAUGAGCCCGCGGCCUAUCAGCUAGUUGGUGAGGUAAUGGCUCACCAAGGCUAAGACGGGUAGCUGGUCUGAGAGGACGACCAGCCACACUGGAACUGAGACACGGUCCAGACACCUACGGGUGGCAGCAGUCGAGAAUUUUUCACAAUGGGCGCAAGCCUGAUGGAGCGACGCCGCGUGGGGGAUGAAUGGCUUCGGCCCGUAAACCCCUGUCAUUUGCGAUCAAACCUCGUUAUUUAAAAGAUGACGAGCUGAUAGUAGCGAAAGAGGAAGGGACGGCUAACUCUGUGCCAGCAGCCGCGGUA
This 541-nucleotide ribosomal RNA is filed under the name uncultured Verrucomicrobiota bacterium. Its description in RNAcentral is "bacterial SSU rRNA". It matches the Rfam family "Bacterial small subunit ribosomal RNA", at positions 8 to 522 of the family's 1533-position model. The record is from RNAcentral. Lineage: Bacteria; Pseudomonadati; Verrucomicrobiota.